Non-coding RNA from Schistocerca gregaria, 73 nucleotides. The record is from the annotation of a RefSeq genome assembly. NCBI's taxonomy places the organism in Eukaryota, Metazoa, Arthropoda, Insecta, Orthoptera, Acrididae.
GCCGUGUUAGCUCAGUUGGUAGAGCGUUUGCCUUCUAAGCAAAAAGUCGUGGGUUCGAGACCCGCACGCGGCU